GUGUGUCUGUGCUUCUGCUUCUGAUCUUCAGUGUGAUUCUGUUGGUGAUCGUCUCUCUCUGGAGGAGGCGUCAGUCUCACAACGCUGAUUCUACAUCCAGAAGUACUCAUGCGACAAAUGGAAACAAUAAAGCUGUUUCUCACGCUGGCUGUGAUUACAAGGAGAUGAAAGACACUCACGAACAUUUACCCACAAACCCCUCUGUUUCUCCUGACUGUGUUCAGAA
Molecule: long non-coding RNA, 226 nt
Organism: Sinocyclocheilus grahami
Lineage: Eukaryota; Metazoa; Chordata; Actinopteri; Cypriniformes; Cyprinidae
Exons: 3
Source: RefSeq, a predicted model, not a curated record